Molecule: long non-coding RNA, 586 nt
Filed under: Piliocolobus tephrosceles (Ugandan red Colobus)
Lineage: Eukaryota; Metazoa; Chordata; Mammalia; Primates; Cercopithecidae
Description: lncRNA (ENSPTEG00000010659.1)
Source: RNAcentral
CACGAUAUUUAAUUUAUUAGACUCCCUACUGAUGUUUUUUUCUAAGGUGUGUUAGUAAUAUAUAAACCAAAAAUGUUUUACAAAAAUAAAAUAAUUUAAAAUGUAUGUUCCUAUGUUUGUCUGUCAUGCAAAUGUAUAUAUGUAUGUGAGUAUACUUCAUAACAUCAUUUAUUAUUUUAUUAUUUUAUUUUUGUUACUAUUCAGUUUUUUCCAAUGGAUUUGUUUGCCAUAGCUAGUUUGGCAAUUUAUAUUUUCUGUUGUUCUUUGUAUGGUAUUAUAAAUGUAGGGAUAAGUGUUUUUUUUAUACCCAUAUUUAAAAUAAAACGGAAGAACACACCUCCUAAGACAUUGCUAGUGGUUUGCUUUGUGGUUAUUCACAUUAUUUUAGUUUCAAUAAUGACAUUAUUAACAGUAAGAAAAAAUAUAUUAAUAUAACAGAGCACAGUAUCCAUUUACUUUUUUUUUUUUUUUUUUUAACUUAUUUUUUUUGCGAAUUUUUUUUUUCUCAGAUUGCACCAAAUUAUACAACUUACGGAAUUCAAAAGAUAAAAAUAAACGUUAGUAAAAAAAAAAAAAAUAAAUAAAU